AAGAUCCUGGCUCAGAUUGAACGCUGGCGGCAGGCCUAACACAUGCAAGUCGAACGGUAACAGAAAGCAGCUUGCUGCUUUGCUGACGAGUGGCGGACGGGUGAGUAAUGUCUGGGAAACUGCCCGAUGGAGGGGGAUAACUACUGGAAACGGUAGCUAAUACCGCAUAACGUCGCAAGACCAAAGAGGGGGGACCUUCGGGCCUCUUGCCAUCGGAUGUGCCCAGAUGGGAUUAGCUAGUAGGUGGGGG
RNAcentral lists this ribosomal RNA (250 nucleotides) under uncultured bacterium. RNAcentral describes it as "partial 16S ribosomal RNA". It matches the Rfam family "Bacterial small subunit ribosomal RNA", at positions 13 to 258 of the family's 1533-position model. The record is from RNAcentral.